RNAcentral lists this ribosomal RNA (305 nucleotides) under uncultured soil bacterium. Its description in RNAcentral is "bacterial SSU rRNA". It matches the Rfam family "Bacterial small subunit ribosomal RNA", at positions 26 to 329 of the family's 1533-position model. The record is from RNAcentral.
AGAUUGAACGCUGGCGGCAGGCCUAACACAUGCAAGUCGAGCGGUAGAGAGGUGCUUGCAUCUCUUGAGAGCGGCGGACGGGUGAGUAAUGCCUAGGAAUCUGCCUAGUGGUGGGGGGAUAACGUUCGGAAACGGACGCUAAUACCGCAUACGUCCUACGGGAGAAAGGCGGGGGACCUUCGGGCCUCGCGCCAUUAGAUGAGCCUAGGUCGGAUUAGCUAGUGGUGAGGUAUGGCUCACCAGGCGACGAGUCCGUAACUGGUCUAGAGAGGAUGAUCAGUCACACGUGGAACUAGAGACGACGG